GACGAACGCUGGCGGCGUGCUUAACACAUGCAAGUCGAACGGAAAGGCCCUGCUUUUGUGGGGUGCUCGAGUGGCGAACGGGUGAGUAACACGUGAGUAACCUGCCCUUGACUUUGGGAUAACUUCAGGAAACUGGGGCUAAUACCGGAUAGGAGCUCCUGCUGCAUGGUGGGGGUUGGAAAGUUUCGGCGGUUGGGGAUGGACGCGCGGCUUACCAGCUUGUUGGUGGGGUAGUGGCUUACCAAGGCUUUGACGGGUAGCCGGCCUGAGAGGGUGACCGGCCACAAUGGGACUGAGAUACGGCCCAGACUCCUACGGGAGGCAGCAGUGGGGAAUAUUGCACAAUGGGUGGAAGCCUGAUGCAGCAACGCCGCGUGCGGGAUGACGGCCUUCGGGUUGUAAACCGCUUUCGCCUGUGACGAAGCGUGAGUGACGGUAAUGGGUAAAGAAGCACCGGCUAACUACGUG
RNAcentral lists this ribosomal RNA (468 nucleotides) under uncultured bacterium. RNAcentral describes it as "partial 16S ribosomal RNA". It matches the Rfam family "Bacterial small subunit ribosomal RNA", at positions 28 to 507 of the family's 1533-position model. The record is from RNAcentral.